GACGAACGCUGGCGGCGUGCUUAACACAUGCAAGUCGAGCGGUAAGGCCCUUUCGGGGGUACACGAGCGGCGAACGGGUGAGUAACACGUGGGUGACCUGCCCUCAGCUCUGGGAUAAGCCUGGGAAACCGGGUCUAAUACUGGAUAUGACUCCAUGACGCAUGUUGUGGGGUGGAAAGCCUUGUGCGGCUGAGGAUGGGCCCGCGGCCUAUCAGCUUGUUGGUGGGGUGANGGCCUACCAAGGCGACGACGGGUAGCCGGCCUGAGAGGGCGACCGGCCACACUGGGACUGAGACACGGCCCAGACUCCUACGGGAGGCAGCAGUGGGGAAUCUUGCGCAAUGGGCGAAAGCCUGACGCAGCGACGCCGCGUGUGUGAAGAAGGCCUGCGGGUUGUAAAGCACUUUCAGUAGGGAAGAAAGCCGAGUGCUAAUAUCACUCGGUCUUG
RNAcentral lists this ribosomal RNA (448 nucleotides) under uncultured bacterium. Its description in RNAcentral is "bacterial SSU rRNA". It matches the Rfam family "Bacterial small subunit ribosomal RNA", at positions 28 to 477 of the family's 1533-position model. The record is from RNAcentral.